Long non-coding RNA from Oncorhynchus masou masou (cherry salmon), 7476 nucleotides. RefSeq lists it as uncharacterized. The record is from RefSeq and is a predicted model, not a curated record. The transcript has 4 exons. Lineage: Eukaryota; Metazoa; Chordata; Actinopteri; Salmoniformes; Salmonidae.
GAGCAGUUUUAUUGAUUUAUUUUGAACAGAAAAGCUGUUCGAUUUAUAAAAAAUUAGUAGUUUUUUGGGGAAUCCUGUUUCCGACCCGCAUAGUAUGUGGCGGGAUGUACUCUUUCUAAAGAAGAAGAAGAAGAAGAAGAAGCUGCUGCUGCUACCGGAAAUGAGUAUUUGCUUGCGAUCAGUUCAAUUUGAGCAUGGCAAUGAGAGCAUUUCCACGAGUUCGACUGAUUUGAGAUUCAUACAUGCUUAACGUUAAUAUGGAUGGCGGGACAUACUCAUCUUGCUCCUCUCCUUUGAUGCUGAAAACAGCACUUUGACUGAUCUUCAUGUGAGCACGGGCGCAGAAGAAAAGCUAGAGCAGACAAGUUUUUGUAUCUCUGGCGAGUUGAUUUGCAUCUAAAAGCACCAGAAUCGCUUUGGCGGGCCGCCUGCCUGUUGAGUGCUAAUUGGGGAUUGUGAGAAAUUUUGAAGAGUAACCAGCUGGCAAGUCAUCAUUUACCAAACUGACUAUUGCCUUGUUUACCACGUGGAAAAAUGAGUCCAGAGAGGAAAACGCUGUUGGAUGACAUAGCACUGAGUUUAUGGACUUUAACCGAGGAUCAUUUACGUUAUCUAUGCGAGCGGUGUGGAAUAUGUGGCCGAGAUGGGUCUGAAGGCAAAGGAGAGAGUAGACGCUCACUGCGUCGUAAAAUAAUGGAGGAAUAUUGUGAGAGUGCUGAUUUAACAGAAUCUGAGGAACAAGGAAUGUCUCGGUUACUACAACUGAAAGAAGACAUCACCGGAAUAGAAGAGGCUAGCGUUGUCCCCACGGGUCCCAGCCAAUCAGCGACAGCGGGCAGCUCACAAGCAUGUUGCCAUGGAGAACAGAAUGAAGAGGGAGGGGGUUGGUUUCCCAGCAGGAAGCUGGAGGCAGAGCCAGUUCCACACUGGCUCAUUAUACCACAGUCUGAGACCAAAUGUACAGAGUCACUGGGUCCUGGUUGUGACGGUGGGCAGCAUGCCCCAGAGAUGGCGUCUUGGCAGACUCUAAAGAGGUUAACCGUGCUGCUGGAGGACUGCAGGUUUAUACCGGGCCAGAGAGUCAACAUCAAAGUAGAAGAGGAGGAGGAGAUGAUUUCUGUCUUUGCUGAUGACGGAAAGAGCCCAAGACCCCCAAAAGAGUCCCCAAGACCCCCAAAAGAGUCCCCAAGACCCCCAAAAGAGUCCCCAAGACCCCCAAAAGAGUCCCCAAGACUCCAAAAAGAGAGAUCUCACAGUUCUCAACGUGAGAAGAGCUUCACAAAACAGUCACGUCUUAAACGGCACCUGCACUCUGGAGAGACGCCUCCCCACUGUUCGGGUAGCAAAGAAAGUGUCUCUACUGUGACAUUGUCAAAGAUAGCCAAGACAGUCCAUCCUAAAGAGAAGUGUCAGAACUGCUCUGACUGCGGCAGAAGUUUCUCUUUGACAGGAUGUAUCAGGAAACGCAUGCCGUUGUUCCAUUCAGGAGAGAAACCCUUCCACUGCCUGGAGUGUAGUAAGAAGUACACUAGAUCAGAUCAGUUGAAAGAUCAUAUGGUUAUAUGCUCUGGUGUGAGACCUUACCAAUGCCCUGACUGUGAAAAACAAUGUCAGGAAGUAUCACAUGCUGUAGUAAAAAGUUCUGAUCCUAAUCACGUGUUAGUACAUUCUGGAGAGAAAUUGUGUCAAUACCCUUACCGUGAGAAGACCUGCACAGCAUCAGACCAUACUCAACAGCUGUACACACACACUGGAGAGACUCCUUACCGUUGUUCAGAUUGUAAUUCAUAUUUCGUUAAUGCAUUACAAUUUAAGAGACAUAAGCAAGAGCACACUGGAGAGAAGCCUCACCUCUGCUCCAAAUGUGAUCUUUGUUUCUUUAUAGAAGAGGACUUAAAAGCACAUGAGGCGAUUCACACAGAGAAGCUUCACCCCUGUUCUGACUGUGGGCAAAAAUUUUCUACAGCGCGGUAUUUAACUAAACACAAGCGGAUACAUUUAGGGAUUAAGCCUUUCUGUUGCACGCAAUGUGACAAGGGGUACACCAAUUCAGAUCAGCUAAAAGUUCAUACGAUGACGCAUACUGGGGAGCGACCGUACCAAUGUGGUCAAUGUAAGAAGAGUUUUAAAACCAAGCCGCAUCUUAAAUACCACCUGUUAAUUCACGAGGUAGGGAUGUUUCACCACUGCCCCGACUGUGAUCAAAGGUUCUCUGCUGAGGAAACUUUAAAGGAACACAUGCAGUUACACAUGGGAGAGAAACCUUUCCACUGUCUGCAAUGUGAGAAGAGGUACAGUACUUCAGAUGGAUUGAAAGAACAUAUGAUGACUCACACUGAUUCUGAUGGGUCACCAAGUACCAGAAAUGUAGGAGAACAAUGUCAGGAAAUACAUGCCGUCGAAAAACGUUUAAAUAUUAAUCAACGCCUGCAGGAACAUUCUGUAGAGAACCCUCACCCUCAUCCGUGUCCUCACUGUGAGAAGGGUUUCUCAAAACAAUCGUAUCUUAAAGAACACUUGCUUUUACAUGCUUGCGAGAUAACUUCUCGUACACUGGUAAGGUAUCCGACUUCCAGAAGAUUAAAAGAUCAUAGGGCAAACUCGCAUAUAGAAAGGCCCUGUAUUUGUUCUGACUGUGGAAAGAGCUUUGCUCAACUACGCAGUCUUACUAGGCACCAGCAAAUACACACGGGGGAAAAGCCUCACCAGUGCCCCAUCUGUGAGAAGAGUUUCUACAGAAAAUCUAAUCUUCAACAACACUUGGCAGUACAUGCUGGCAAGAAACCUUACCAGUGCUCUCAUUGUGAGAAGAGUUUCUCAAGACAAUUACAACUUAAGAUACAUAUGUACUCACACACUGGAGAGCAAACUUACCAUUGUGCCGUUUGUAAUUCAUAUUUCCUUUAUGCGUUACAAUUCAAGAGACAUAUGCAAGAGCACACUGGAGAGAAGCCUCACCUCUGCUCUGACUGUGGUCUGACCUUCCUUAUCGAAGAGGACUUAAAAGCACAUGAAAGAAUUCACAGGGGAGAGAAGCCUCAUCACUGCUCUGACUGUGGGCGAAAUUUCUCCUCGGCGGGAUGCUUAAAUCAACACAAGCUCUUACAUCUGGGACACAAAUCUUUCCAAUGUGAGCAAUGUGAUAAGAAGUUCUCAAGAUCAAUUCAGUUGAAAGUUCAUAUGUCAAGACAUACCGGAGAGAAACCAUAUCAAUGUUCUGAAUGUGAUAAAAGUUAUUGCCUUUCCAACCUCUUACAAAAACAUCGGAGUAUAACGCACAUGGGAGAAAAACCUUACCUUUGCUCUGACUGUGGAAAGUGUUUUGGUUACCGACACCAACUUGUAGUCCACCAGCGAAUGCACACGGGGGAAAAGCCCUUUGUCUGCUCUGAGUGUGGGAAACAGUAUUCCAAUACAUGUGGCUUGAAGAUACAUCAGCGAACACAUACCGGAGAGAAACCGUACCAAUGUCCCGACUGCGAUCAAUGUUUCAUCCGGGUAGAUUCCCUUAAACACCAUCAAUCAUCGACGCAUACAGGGAAGUGGCCUUUCAACUGCAUUAUUUGUGGAAAAGGUUUUUCGUCGAGCUGUGAGCUAAAAGGCCACAUGCGCAGUCAUAGUGGCGAUAAGCCUUAUCAAUGCCCUGUCUGUGAGAAGCGUUUCACGCUCGCGGGAACCUGUCGAAAGCACCAGAAAACUCACACCGUGAGAGAGAAACCUCACGCCUGUUCUGAAUGCGAAAAGAGUUUUGUAAAUGUACAAAGACUAAAGGUACACAAGAGAGUACAUACUGGUGAGAAGCCAUACCACUGCUCCGACUGUGGGAAGAACUUCACUCAAUUGACAAGCUUAAAUAGGCACAAGGUCAAACAACACAAGGAUAUAGAAAAAAAGCAGACUGCCCCCUGAGUGGCGCAGUGGUCUAAGGUACUGCAUCGCAGUGCUAGCUGUGCCACUAGAUAUUCUGGGUUCGAGUCCAGGCUCUGUCGUGACCGGGAGACCCGUUGGCCAAGUGUCGUUGGGGUUGAGGGGGGGGUUUAGCCGGCAGGGAUAUCCUUGUACCAUCGUGCCCUAGCGACUCCUGUGGCGGGCCGGGCGCAGUGCAUGCUGACAUGGUCGCCUGGUGUACGGUGUUUCCUCCGACACAUUGGUGCGGCUGACUUCUGGGUCAUGUGGGCAUUGUGUCAAGAAGCAGUGCGGCUCUCGGCCUUCGCCUCUCCUGAGUCUGUACAGGAGUUGCAGCGAUGAGACAAGACUAACUACCAAUUGGGGACAAAGAGGGGUAACAAAAAAUGGGGGGAGACUGAACAUGGCCAAGGAAAGUAUCACUGUACUGCUACCAUCCAGUUCCUUCAAAGUCCCACUCCUUGACUUUUUCCACAUUUUGUGUUACAGCCUGAAUUUUUAAAAUUGAUUAAAUUGAGAUUUUUUUUGACACUGGCUCCAUGUCAGUGGAAUUAUGCUUUGGUAAAAAUGUUGCAUUCAUUAAACUUGAAAAGCUGAAAUGUCUUGAGUCGAUCAUAUUCAAUCCCCUUUUUGUUAUGGCAAGUCUCUAUAAGUUCAGGAGGAAAACUGUGCUGAAGUUUGCAUGGACUCACAUUGUGUGCAAUAAUAAGUGUUUAACCUGUGUUUGGAAUGACUGCCUCGUCUCUCUCUUCCCCCCCCACAUACAAUUAUCUUUAAGGUCCCUUUUGUCAAGCAGUGAAUUUCAAACACAAAUUCAACAACGAAGACCAGGGAGGUUGAUCUAUUGAUGGAUGGGGGAAAAAAGCAGACAUUUUUGAGCAUGGUGAAGUAUCAGUACACCCAGUCCACUAUGAAGUGGUAGGUGUCCUUCCUAGCUCAGUUGCCGGAGAGGAAGAGAACCGCUCUGGGAUUUCACCAUGAGGCCAACGGUGACUUUAAAACCGUUACAUAGUUUAGUGGCUGUAAUAGCAGAAAACUGAGGAUGGAUCAACAUUGUAGUUACUCCACAAUACUAACCUAAAUGACAGUAAAAGGAAGGAAUCCUGUACAGAGUUAAACAUAUUCCCGAAACAUGCAUCCUGUUUGCAACAAUGCACUCUAGAAAUACUUCCAAAAAUGUGGCAAAGCAAUUAACAUUCUGUCAUGAUUUUCAAUACGACACAUUACUGAGUACCACUCUCCAAGCAUAGUGGUGGCUGUAUCAUGUUAUGGGUAUGCUUGUAAUUGUUAAGGAUGGGAGUUUUUCAGGAUUAAAAAAUAAAUAUACGGAAUGGAGCCAAGCAAAACCCUUUAUGAAAACCUGGUUCAGUCUGCUUUCCAACAGACACUGGGAGAUGAAUUCACCUUUCAGCAGGACAAUAACCUACAACACAAGGUCAAAUAUACACUGGAGUUGCUUACCAAGAAGUCAGUGAAAAUUCCUGAGUGGAAUUUGACAAGAUCUGAAAAAUGGUUGUCAUGCAAUGCUCAACAACCAAUUUGACAAGAGCUUGAAGAGUUUUGAGGCAAAUGUUGAACAAUCCAGGGGUGGAGUUACACAGAACGACUCACAGUUGUAAUUGCUGCAAAAGGUACUAAUACAAAGUAUUGACUCGGGUGUGAAAUAUUUUUACGUAAUUUGAUAUUUUUGUAUAUAAUUUUUCAGUAAAUUUGCUUGCAUUUCCAAUGCCAUGUUUUCACCUUCACAUUUAUGUGUGUAGAUGGGUGGGGAAAUGUAUUCAAUCUGUUUAAAAAAUGUAGGCUUUAACAAAAUGUGGUAUAAGUCAUGGGGUAUGAAUACUUUCUGACGGUACUCGAUAUAGACUUCUACUUCGCUACCUUGUUUACAGUACCUUUGGUACUACCUAACCUGCACACCAACCAUGUUGUUUUGUAUGCUAUUGCUCCCAUGGUUGACGAGGCUGUAUCUGAACUACAGGGAAAUGUUUUGACCUGAAAUUAGUAUUGAAUGUAGGUCAAACAAAGUAUACUGUAUGUUCUUCUAUAGUGUGCAUGCAAAUGUACUUUGGAUGGUGCCCAUAUUGAUUUGUGUCUCUGCUUACAAAUAUUGGGGCAUCUGGAUAAGUGAAAAUCUGUCUUUCAAUAUAAAGCAUAUUGAUGAGUUAAACAGAGAAUAUAUUUUUUUAUAAGUAGGUCAUGCCUUUCACUAAAUAGUUAGAAAUCGUUCAGUCGACGUUCCUACCGGUCUUAGACUAUGGCAACAUCCUCUAUAUGAACACAGCUGCCACUUCAUUAAAGCCCUGAGAUGCAGUUUAUCUUUAGCACAUUCCUUUAUUACGGGCGACAGGUUUAAUACUCAUCACUGCGUUCUCUACCAGAAAGUUGCUUGGUCCUCUGAUGGUCACGUAGGUUGAUACAUUGCUAUGUUUUAAUUUGUAAAGUCCCUUUUUUUUUUUUUUUUACAAAAAAGUCCCACUGUGCCAAACACUAACCUUAAGACCUACAGAGUUAUUUAACCCAGUCUCCGGGAUGGUUAACUCUGGGUAUUCCUUUGGUCUCUACAGCUUUCCUAUUUCUAUUUGUGGAUAAAAAGUGUAGUUAAGAUGCUGUAGUCUGCAUUAAAAAAAGGAGAAUAUAUAAUGCUUUAACUAUACGAUGUAACAACGAUUAGCUCCACGACGUGAUGAUGAGUUACAGGACUCAUUUCACCUACAAGCUCGACUGUAUUUAGUCUAACCCCUUCAGAACGCAGUAUUUAACUUUUUUUUGGGGGGGGGGGGGCUUCUUCUUCUUCAAUUGAUAACAACGAUGAUUUGGCUAAGCUAAAUUAUUUCCACCUGCCCUACUGCUACAUUAAAGAAUAACAAUAAAAGGUAGAGCUUCAAUGUAACAAGGUUGUUUUUAGCAUUAUUUGCCUCAUUGUUCUAUUUUAUAGAUAUAUUUUGAAGGACUGAAAUCUGUUUUGACCCAUUUUGGAACUUGAUUUAAUUGUACGUGUUCUGUAGCCUGGCGACCAGUCUGCUGUCAUGCCGUUCGCUGUCAUAUGCCAAACAUGCUAGCAGAAACAGACUGGCACCCAGGCUUCAUGUUCUGCACUUAUUAUUAUUAUUUUUAAAUGUGUGUUUUAUGCCGGCCCUAUAUGAACAUUUUUAAAACAAUUCAGCUACAGAUGUGGAAUCACUGCAUUUUUAAAAAAUCAAAAUAUACACUACCGUUAAAAAGUUGAGUCAUAAAUGUCCUUGUUUUUGAAAUAAAGAGAAUUGUUCAGUUAAUCACAUAAAAUUGAUCAGAAAUGGUGUAGACAUUGUUGUAAAUUACUAUUGUAGCUGGAAAGGGCUGAUUUUUUUGGGGGGGGAUUUUUUUUUUUUAAAUGGAAAAUCUACAUACGUGUACAGAGGCCCAUUAUCAGCAACUAUCACUCCUGUGUUCCAAUGGCAUGUUGUGUUAGCUAAUCCAAGUUUAUCAUUUUAAAAUGGCUAAUUGAUCAUUAGAAAACCCUUUUACAAUUGUUAGCACAGCUGAAAAUUGUUCUGGUUUAAAGAAGCAAUAAAACUGCCCUUCUUUAGUCUA